RNAcentral lists this ribosomal RNA (769 nucleotides) under uncultured bacterium. Its description in RNAcentral is "bacterial SSU rRNA". It matches the Rfam family "Bacterial small subunit ribosomal RNA", at positions 8 to 823 of the family's 1533-position model. The record is from RNAcentral.
AGAGUUUGAUCCUGGCUCAGAACGAACGCUGGCGGCACGCCUAACACAUGCAAGUCGAGCGCUACCUUCGGGUGGAGCGGCGGACGGGUUAGUAACGCGUGGGAACAUACCCAACUCUACGGAAUAGCCUCGGGAAACUGAGAGUAAUACCGUAUACGCCCUUCGGGGGAAAGAUUUAUCGGAGAUGGAUUGGCCCGCGUUAGAUUAGAUAGUUGGUGGGGUAACGGCCUACCAAGUCUACGAUCUAUAGCUGGUUUGAGAGGAUGAUCAGCAACACUGGGACUGAGACACGGCCCAGACUCCUACGGGAGGCAGCAGUGGGGAAUCUUAGACAAUGGGCGAAAGCCUGAUCUAGCGAUGCCGCGUGAGUGACGAAGGCCUUAGGGUCGUAAAGCUCUUUCGCCAGGGAUGAUAAUGACAGUACCUGGUAAAGAAACCCCGGCUAACUCCGUGCCAGCAGCCGCGGUAAUACGGAGGGGGUUAGCGUUGUUCGGAAUUACUGGGCGUAAAGCGCACGUAGGCGGAUUAGAAAGUAGGGGGUGAAAUCCCAGGGCUCAACCCUGGAACUGCCUCCUAAACUACUAGUCUAGAGUUCGAGAGAGGUGAGUGGAAUUCCAAGUGUAGAGGUGAAAUUCGUAGAUAUUUGGAGGAACACCAGUGGCGAAGGCGGCUCACUGGCUCGAUACUGACGCUGAGGUGCGAAAGUGUGGGGAGCAAACAGGAUUAGAUACCCUGGUAGUCCACACCGUAAACGAUGAAUGCCAGACGU